CGCAGCUUGCGCUCCUCGGUAUUCCGAGGAGCAUGCCUUUUUGAGUGUCGUUAAUCUUCUCCAAACUAUAUUUUUUUGCAAAAAAAGAUGUAGCGCGGGUCCUUGGGCUUGCUUGAUGAAAAUCAAGCUUGCCUUAAAUAUAUGAGCUGAAGAUCAGUCGGGUUGCUAAGGCAAUUAUUAACCCGCGUAAACGGUCUUUGCUUUCUUUUAACUAAAACACUACUGGCCUCAAAUAAGGUAGGACUACCCGCUGAACUUAA
Molecule: unclassified non-coding RNA, 260 nt
Filed under: Exobasidiales sp.
Lineage: Eukaryota; Fungi; Basidiomycota; Exobasidiomycetes; Exobasidiales
Description: partial contains 5.8S ribosomal RNA, internal transcribed spacer 2, and large subunit ribosomal RNA
Source: RNAcentral